CCUACGGGGGGCAGCAGUGGGGAAUAUUGGACAAUGGGGGGAACCCUGAUCCAGCCAUGCCGCGUGUGUGAAGAAGGCCCUCGGGUUGUAAAGCACUUUCAGUGAGGAAGAACGCCUGGUGGUUAAUACCCAUCAGGAAAGACAUCACUCACAGAAGGAGCACCGGCUAACUCCGUGCCAGCAGCCGCGGUAAUACGGAGGGUGCGAGCGUUAAUCGGAAUUACUGGGCGUAAAGCGCGCGUAGGUGGCUUGAUAAGCCGGUUGUGAAAGCCCCGGGCUCAACCUGGGAACGGCAUCCGGAACUGUCAAGCUAGAGUGCAGGAGAGGAAGGUAGAAUUCCCGGUGUAGCGGUGAAAUGCGUAGAGAUCGGGAGGAAUACCAGUGGCGAAGGCGGCCUUCUGGACUGACACUGACACUGAGGUGCGAAAGCGUGGGUAGCAAACAGGAUUAGAUACCCCAGUAGUC
Molecule: ribosomal RNA, 465 nt
Filed under: Vreelandella stevensii
Lineage: Bacteria; Pseudomonadati; Pseudomonadota; Gammaproteobacteria; Oceanospirillales; Halomonadaceae
Description: partial 16S ribosomal RNA
Rfam family: Bacterial small subunit ribosomal RNA
Source: RNAcentral